RNAcentral lists this ribosomal RNA (693 nucleotides) under uncultured bacterium. RNAcentral describes it as "bacterial SSU rRNA". It matches the Rfam family "Bacterial small subunit ribosomal RNA", at positions 95 to 774 of the family's 1533-position model. The record is from RNAcentral.
GUGGCGGACGGGUGAGUAACACGUAGGUAACCUGCCCCGGAGCGGGGGAUAACAUUUGGAAACAGAUGCUAAUACCGCAUAACAACGAAAGCCACAUGGCUUUUGUUUGAAAGAUGGCUUUGGCUAUCACUCUGGGAUGGACCUGCGGUGCAUUAGCUAGUUGGUAAGGUAACGGCUUACCAAGGCGAUGAUGCAUAGCCGAGUUGAGAGACUGAUCGGCCACAAUGGAACUGAGACACGGUCCAUACUCCUACGGGAGGCAGCAGUAGGGAAUCUUCCACAAUGGGCGCAAGCCUGAUGGAGCAACACCGCGUGAGUGAAGAAGGGUUUCGGCUCGUAAAGCUCUGUUGUUGGAGAAGAACGUGCGUGAGAGUAACUGUUCACGCAGUGACGGUAUCCAACCAGAAAGUCACGGCUAACUACGUGCCAGCAGCCGCGGUAAUACGUAGGUGGCAAGCGUUAUCCGGAUUUAUUGGGCGUAAAGCGAGCGCAGGCGGUUGCUUAGGUCUGAUGUGAAAGCCUUCGGCUUAACCGAAGAAGUGCAUCGGAAACCGGGCGACUUGAGUGCAGAAGAGGACAGUGGAACUCCAUGUGUAGCGGUGGAAUGCGUAGAUAUAUGGAAGAACACCAGUGGCGAAGGCGGCUGUCUGGUCUGCAACUGACGCUGAGGCUCGAAAGCAUGGGUAGCGAACA